Molecule: ribosomal RNA, 112 nt
Filed under: Bacteroidota bacterium
Lineage: Bacteria; Pseudomonadati; Bacteroidota
Also listed under: 1 other name
Source: RNAcentral
UUCGGUGACUAUUGCAAUAGGGUCCACCUCUUCCCAUUUCGAACAGAGAAGUUAAGCCUAUUUGCGCAGAUGGUACUAGGGUAAUACCUGGAAGAGUAUGUCGUUGCCACUU